CUCUUAGCAUUUUAGCUUCAUUUGUUUCCUUAACAACAACCUCCCUGGACUUUGAUCAAACUGUGCAUCGUAUCCACCAUCUGUUAGACAUAAGAAAACAAUAUUAGCAACAUUGCACAAAAACAAAUCUACUAAAACCAACUGAAAGAUCGACACAAACCUGUGCGUAGUAGUGAUUGUCACCGAACGUGUCAAGAUUCUUAUUGCAGAUGUCAACAAAGAAAAAAGAACCAGCCUUGUAAGGACCUAAAAAAACUGCUGCAGCAGAGAAUCUAGCAUACAACCCUUCUGC
RNAcentral lists this long non-coding RNA (292 nucleotides) under Brassica napus (rape). Its description in RNAcentral is "long non-coding RNA (BNAP_LNC020626)". The record is from RNAcentral. Lineage: Eukaryota; Viridiplantae; Streptophyta; Magnoliopsida; Brassicales; Brassicaceae.